Molecule: transfer RNA, 73 nt
Filed under: Canis lupus familiaris (dog)
Lineage: Eukaryota; Metazoa; Chordata; Mammalia; Carnivora; Canidae
Also listed under: 1 other name
Rfam family: tRNA
About the family: Transfer RNA (tRNA) molecules are approximately 80 nucleotides in length. Their secondary structure includes four short double-helical elements and three loops (D, anti-codon, and T loops).
Source: Rfam by way of RNAcentral
GCCUGGCUGGCUCAGUCGGUAGAGUGUGCGACUCUUGAUCUCAAGGUUGUAAGUUUGAGUCCCACGCCGGAUG